UACGUAGGUGGCAAGCGUUGUCCGGAUUUACUGGGCGUAAAGGAUGCGUAGGCGGAUAUUUAAGUCAGAUGUGAAAUACCCGGGCUCAACUUGGGUGCUGCAUUUGAAACUGGAUAUCUAGAGUGCGGGAGAGGUAAGUGGAAUUCCUAGUGUAGCGGUGAAAUGCGUAGAGAUUAGGAAGAACACCAGUGGCGAAGGCGACUUACUGGACCGUAACUGACGCUCAUGCACGAAAGCGUGGGGAGCAAACAGG
RNAcentral lists this ribosomal RNA (253 nucleotides) under uncultured bacterium. Its description in RNAcentral is "partial 16S ribosomal RNA". It matches the Rfam family "Bacterial small subunit ribosomal RNA", at positions 524 to 776 of the family's 1533-position model. The record is from RNAcentral.